This is a non-coding RNA of Chelonoidis abingdonii (Abingdon island giant tortoise), 414 nucleotides long. Lineage: Eukaryota; Metazoa; Chordata; Testudines; Testudinidae. The record is from RefSeq and is a predicted model, not a curated record.
GAUGACCUCUCGAGAUCCCUUUCAGUCCUACGAUUCUAUGAUCCAGAAAUGGGUAGGGAAGAGGACAGAGGAUGGCAUAGCAUGAUAUGAGAAAAAGAGCAAUCCGGCCACAGCAUCCUGACUCCCAGAAACUGAGAGAGCAAGGAGGUGCAUUUUUCAGAACACAAAGUGCUGAUGGCCCACAGAAGGAUUUCAGCAGAGACAGGGGCAUGGGAGAGAUAAGGGGCAAAGUAGGGAUGACAUUAUUGCAAAGCACAGGGGAUACCAAUGAUGUCCACUUCAGAGGAGCAUCCCAGGCAGUCUAUUAAAUAUUGUUGGGUAGCUAAUGGCUACCAUGUCUGCCCACACACUGGCUGCACUGGUGAGUAAAUGGUGCUAUACGAAAAAUCACAUUCACUCUUGCUAUUCAGUGCC